GCUGAACGAAAACAACUUAUAUAUCCGUUCUGAACUGAAGUUCGUGAACUGUUAUCUUAAAGACCUUCAAUUAAAGGUGAAACCUAUCCUAGACCUGGCUUACGCUCCAUAAAAAUACCAAGAAUCCAGAGAUUUCGCCAACCAACCUGCAACCAUGGGAUAAUUAUAGAUAAUCAAGUUGGCCUUGGUAAACUGUCAUGUCAUUCGAAGCCAGUUUAAAAAUAUAUUUCAUUUGACGAUGAACGGGAGAAGGAUUUACAAGCUGAGCGAAAACAACUUCGAUAUCCGUUCUGAACUGAAGUUUGCGAACAGUUUUCUUAAAGACCUUCAAUUGAAGGUGGAUCCUAUCCUAGACCUGGCUUACGAUUCGUGGUCAUAGCUCCAUAAAAAUACCAAGAAUCCAGAGAUUUCGCCAACCAACAUGCAAUCCUGAGACAAUUAUAGAUAAUCAAGUUGGCCUUGGCAAACUGUCAUGUCAUUCGAAGCCAGUUUAAAAAUAUUUCAUUUGACGAUGGACGGCAGAAGGAUUUACAAGCUGAACGAAAACAACUUAGAUAUCCGUUCUGAACUGAAGUUCGCGAACAGUUUUCUUAAAGACCUUCAAUUAAAGGUGAAACCUAUCCUAGACCUGGCUUACGAUAAUCAAGUUGGCCUGGGCAAACUGUCAUGUCAUUCGAAGCCACUAGAAAAAUACAUUUCAUUUGACGAUGGACGGGAGAAGGAUUUACAAGCUGAGCGAAAACAACCUGGAUAUCCGUUCUAAACUGAAGUUCGCGAACAGUUUUCUUAAAGACCUUCAAUUGAAGGUGGAUCCUAUCCUAGACCUGG
Molecule: non-coding RNA, 828 nt
Organism: Drosophila suzukii
Lineage: Eukaryota; Metazoa; Arthropoda; Insecta; Diptera; Drosophilidae
Source: RefSeq, a predicted model, not a curated record